This is a non-coding RNA of Labrus bergylta (ballan wrasse), 251 nucleotides long. The record is from RefSeq and is a predicted model, not a curated record. Lineage: Eukaryota; Metazoa; Chordata; Actinopteri; Labriformes; Labridae.
GACCAACGUAAUGCUUUUUGGAGAGUAUUGAGCAACUACGACCUAGAGUUGGUGUUGGUCACCAACACCAACAGAGGCACCAUCAGAGGAGUGCCAAAAUGCAGUGGCAUUUGGGAAACAUGGAAAAGUGUCAGAGGGGAAGACAGUCUUGGAGAAGUCAAAAGUAAAUGGGAUUUUAACUUACGUCAUGCACUGUGGCACAUGGAAAGGGUGGACACCAGUGGAGAAAGCAAAGGCCAAGAAAGCCCUUA